Molecule: ribosomal RNA, 519 nt
Filed under: uncultured eukaryote
Lineage: Eukaryota
Description: SSU rRNA
Rfam family: Eukaryotic small subunit ribosomal RNA
Source: RNAcentral
AGGGCACCACCAGGAGUGGAGCCUGCGGCUUAAUUUGACUCAACACGGGAAAACUCACCCGGCCCGGACACUGGAAGGAUUGACAGAUUGAGAGCUCUUUCUUGAUUCAGUGGGUGGUGGUGCAUGGCCGUUCUUAGUUGGUGGAGUGAUUUGUCCGGUUAAUUCCGAUAACGAACGAGACUCUAGCCUAUUAAAUAGAUCGUUGGCUUACAAACGCCGGCGAGACUUCUUAGAGGGACAGGCGGCGAUUCAGCCGCACGAAACAGAGCAAUAACAGGUCUGUGAUGCCCUUAGAUGUCCGGGGCCGCACGCGCGCUACACUGAAGUGAUCAGCGUGCAUUUUGAAACCUACUCUGUCAAGAGUGGGGAACCCAAUGAACCUUCUUCGUGAUUGGGAUAGGGGAUUGUAAUUAUUCCCCUUGAACGAGGAAUUCCCAGUAAGCGCGAAUCAUAAGUUUGCGCUGAUUACGUCCCUGCCCUUUGUACACACCGCCCGUCGCUACUACCGAUUGAAUGUUU